GAUGAACGCUAGCGACAGGCCUAACACAUGCAAGUCGAGGGGCAGCAUGAAAUUAGCUUGCUAAUUUUGAUGGCGACCGGCGCACGGGUGAGUAACACGUAUGCAACCUGCCUGUAAGCGGGGGAUAACCCGGAGAAAUUCGGACUAAUACCGCAUAAUAUCAUUGAUUCGCAUGUUUCAAUGGUUAAAAAUUUAUUGCUUACAGAUGGGCAUGCGUAUGAUUAGCUAGUUGGCGGGGUAACGGCCCACCAAGGCGACGAUCAUUAGGGGUUCUGAGAGGAAGGUCCCCCACAUUGGAACUGAGACACGGUCCAA
This 315-nucleotide ribosomal RNA is filed under the name uncultured bacterium. Its description in RNAcentral is "bacterial SSU rRNA". It matches the Rfam family "Bacterial small subunit ribosomal RNA", at positions 28 to 334 of the family's 1533-position model. The record is from RNAcentral.